This 433-nucleotide ribosomal RNA is filed under the name uncultured bacterium. Its description in RNAcentral is "partial 16S ribosomal RNA". It matches the Rfam family "Bacterial small subunit ribosomal RNA", at positions 29 to 507 of the family's 1533-position model. The record is from RNAcentral.
AACGAACGCUGGCGGCAGGCCUAACACAUGCAAGUCGAGCGAGUCCUUCGGGUCUAGUGGCGCACGGGUGCGUAAGGGGAGGGAACCUGGCCUUAGGGUCGGGAUCACCCCCCUAAAGGGGGGCUAAUACCGGUAAAUGUCUGCGGUCAAAGGAUGUAUCGCCUUUGGAUGGCGCCGAGUUGGCCUAGCUAGGUGGUAGGGUAAAAGCCUCCCCAGGCGACGAUCCAUAGCGCGUCUGAGGGGAUGUUCGGCCAGACUGGGACUGGGACCCGGCCCGGACUCCUGCGGGAGGCAGCGGUACGGAAGCCUGGACACUGCGCUCAGGCCAGAUCCAGCAAUGCCGCGUGCGUGAUUAAGGCCUUAGCGUUGUAAAGCACUUUUACCCGAGAUCAUCAUGACAGUACCAGGAGAAUAAGCUCCGGCUAACUCCGUG